Molecule: ribosomal RNA, 478 nt
Filed under: uncultured bacterium
Lineage: Bacteria
Description: partial 16S ribosomal RNA
Rfam family: Bacterial small subunit ribosomal RNA
Source: RNAcentral
AGUGAACGCUGGCGGCGUGCCUAACACAUGCAAGUCGAACGAUGAUGGAGGAGCUUGCUCUUCCUGAUUAGUGGCGCACGGGUGAGUAUACCAUAGAUAAUGUACCCCUUAGUUCGGGAUAGCCACUGGAAACGGUGAUUAAUACCGGAUACUCCUUCUCGUUAUAAGACGAGUCGGGAAAGUUUUUUCGCUAAGGGAUCAGUCUAUGUCCUAUCAGCUAGUUGGUGAGGUAAUGGCUCACCAAGGCUAUGACGGGUAUCUGGUUUGAGAGGAUGAUCAGACACACUGGAACUGAGACACGGUCCAGACUCCUACGGGAGGCAGCAGUGAGGAAUAUUGCACAAUGGAGGAAACUCUGAUGCAGCAACGCCGCGUGGGGGAUGACGCAUUUCGGUGUGUAAACUCCUUUUAAGAGGGAAGAUUAUGACGGUACCUCUUGAAUAAGCACCGGCUAACUCCGUGCCAGCAGCCGCUGUAA